This 1076-nucleotide long non-coding RNA is filed under the name Cicer arietinum (chickpea). RNAcentral describes it as "long non-coding RNA (CARI_LNC003004)". The record is from RNAcentral. Lineage: Eukaryota; Viridiplantae; Streptophyta; Magnoliopsida; Fabales; Fabaceae.
ACAUAAGUUACUUAAAAUUAGGAAGUAAAAAUAAAAACAAGUAGGUUGACAAUAGAAGAAAGUAGUGGUUUUUGAAGAACCAAUCCUUGAUGGAUUGAAUGAAGGCCCAAAUGCCUAGCUGGCUAUGAAAAGAAGAAAAUUAGAACUUUGAAGCUUCAAUUAGCUGGAAUCUCUGUGUUAAGAUCAAAGGUUGAAAGAGAAUUUUCUCAAUCAACCGAGAAAGAAAAUGUUGAUAAAAGCUGUUCUUCAAGCCAUCUUUACCUAUGCUAUGUCUAUCUUGAAAUCCCCUGAGACGUUUUGCCAAAAGCUUUGUAGCAAAAUAACAAGGUUUUGGUAGAGUAAAUCUGGGAGGUGGGGUGGGUGCUAAAAUUAUCCACCAGAAGUAGUCUUAUAUGAAACACACAUAUCCAAACAAGCUUUGGGAGUUAUUAAUAGUAACGAGUCUUUGUGGGUUACUAUGCUGAAAGCACUAUACUUAAAGGAUUGUGAAUUUGGUUAGGAGAGUCAUAACUCAGAGAAAUGGGAGAAGAGCAAUUGGGUCAGGGGAGUUUGUUAAGAUUACCACUGACUAGUAGCUUACUAAUGGUUCGUUGGCUCAAUCUUCGGAUUCUGGUAGUGGAAAUGUGUGGACGACAAUACUUAUCCUCCAGGUACCGGGUUCGAUUUUCACGGAAGGCAAAAACUCGCUAUUUUCUAUGGAAAGGAAAUGGGGGGGUGAGAAUGUCGUAACUAACAGUGCCGAUAACGGUAAGGGUCAAGCUGUUGUGACAUAUGUGUCCUCUGGUUCUAGUAAACCUGUGGUAUCCUCAACUUGCUUUGACUUUUUAUGGUCAAGUUAUUUGUCAUCAAAUUUAACAUGUAUUGAUUCUUCCACAGUUUGAGUUUCCUUAUUGAACACACUAUAGCUUUGGAUCUUUUAGAGUAUCCAAGGAAGAUAUACUUUUGCAAGCGGGGAUCAAACUUGUCAAUGUUGUCUUUAGUGUUUAACAUAUAACAAAUUCAACCAAAUUGCUUAAAGUAAUAGAUAUUAGGCUUUUUAUCCUUCCAUAAUUCAUAUGAUGUUUUAUUCAAUAUUG